Molecule: ribosomal RNA, 301 nt
Filed under: uncultured bacterium
Lineage: Bacteria
Description: partial 16S ribosomal RNA
Rfam family: Bacterial small subunit ribosomal RNA
Source: RNAcentral
CAGCCGCCGCGGUAAUACGGAGGGUGCAAGCGUUAAUCGGAAUUGCUGGGCGUAAAGCGCACGCAGGCGGUUUGUUAAGUCAGAUGUGAAAUCCCCGAGCUUAACUUGGGAACUGCAUUUGAAACUGGCAAGCUAGAGUCUUGUAGAGGGGGGUAGAAUUCCAGGUGUAGCGGUGAAAUGCGUAGAGAUCUGGAGGAAUACCGGUGGCGAAGGCGGCCCCCUGGACAAAGACUGACGGUCAGGCGCGAAAGCGUGGGGAGCAAACAGGAUUAGAUACCCCAGUAGUCCCUGUCUCUUAUAC